UUUCCGUAGGUGAACCUGCGGAAGGAUCAUUAAAAAAUUGGACUCCAUUGGUGAGUUCAUUAAUAAUCCCUACCCUUGUGAAUUUGUUUGUUUGAAUAAUUUUUUUUUCCAAAAAAAAUUAUUGAAUGUCUUUCCCUGUUUUUGGUGGAGCUUGUAAAGUGAAACCAGGCAGGGGGAAUGGCCAAACAAUAAUUAUUUUUGAAAAAAAGACCUUUUUUUUAAAAUUAAAACUUUUGUUAUUCAUUUGUCUAAAUUAUUUUAUAAUAUAAAAACAACUUUUGACAAUGGAUCUCUUGUUCUCGCAACGAUGAAGAACGCAGCAAAAUGCGAUAAGUAGUGUGAAUUGCAGAAUACGUGAAUCAUCGAAUCUUCGAACGCAUAUUGCAACUUUUUUUAGUUUACUAAAAAGUAUGUCUGUUUGAGUAUCAGUAAAAUAUUCUCAUAAAAAAUUUAUUUUUUUAUGGUUAUGAGUGUUUUACAACGAUAACAAGUUGUUUCACUUUAAAUUCUUGUUAUCAAAAAAAAAAUCAUUUAAAAGCUAAUUUAAAAGAUUUUUUUAAAAUUGGAUAAAAUUUUCCCGUAAAAAGGAAUAACCUAAACAAUUUUAAAAAAAUUAAAAUUGGUUUGAUUUUUUUGAAUUUAAAGGAAAAAAAAAAAACGAAAUUAACUUGAUCUCAAAUCAGAUAAGAGUACCCGCUGAACUUAGCAUAUCAAUAAGCGGAGGAAAAGAAACUAACUAGGAUUCCCUCAGUAACGGCGAGUGAAGCGGGAAGAGCUCAAAUUUGAAAUCUUCAAGGUUUUACCUUGACGAAUUGUAGUUUAAAGAAGUGUUUUCUGUUGGAGUUUUGGUAAAAGUUCUUUGGGAAAAGGACAUCAUAGAGGGUGAGAUCCCGUAUUUGACCAUUAUCUCCAGCUUUGUAUACACUUUCAAAGAGUCGGAUUGUUUGGGAAUGCAGUCCAAAAUGGGUGGUAAAUUUCAUCUAAAGCUAAAUACUGGCGAGAGACCGAUAGCGAACAAGUACCGUGAGGGAAAGAUGAAAAGAACUUUGAAAAGAGAGCUAAACAGUACGUGAAAUUGUCAAAAGGGAAGCGUUUGACCACCAGUGUUGUUUUCUCGAAAAUCAAUUAAAAAAGGCCGGAUUUUGUGUUGUAUUGACUUUAUCAGCUUUCUGCACUUUUUUCUUGUCUUUUUUAAUGCACUUUUCGUUUAACAAGUCAACAUCAAUUUCUUUUGUUGUAAAAGGGUCAUUGGAAGGUGGCUUUCUUUUCGGAGAAAGUGUUUAUAGCCUUUGGCCUCUGCAAUCGGAGAGAUUGAGGUCUGCAGCGUAGAUCCUUCGGGGUUAGAUACAUUUGUGCUAAGUUAUAGCCUUUCAUAGACAACUUGUGACUAUGAUCAGUCAUGUAGCUUACUCGCUUAUGCUAUUU
RNAcentral lists this unclassified non-coding RNA (1425 nucleotides) under uncultured Neocallimastigales. RNAcentral describes it as "partial contains small subunit ribosomal RNA, internal transcribed spacer 1, 5.8S ribosomal RNA, internal transcribed spacer 2, and large subunit ribosomal RNA". The stretch from base 670 to 1425 matches the Rfam family "Eukaryotic large subunit ribosomal RNA", at positions 1 to 617 of the family's 3401-position model. The record is from RNAcentral. Lineage: Eukaryota; Fungi; Neocallimastigomycota; Neocallimastigomycetes; Neocallimastigales.